RNAcentral lists this small RNA (582 nucleotides) under Pongo abelii (Sumatran orangutan). RNAcentral's name for it is "retained intron". Lineage: Eukaryota; Metazoa; Chordata; Mammalia; Primates; Hominidae. The record is from RNAcentral.
GAGGGAGGUGUCAGGCGGGGAGAGACGCAAACGGCGGGACCAGCAGCGACGGUAGCAGCAGCAUGGCCGCGAUCUGUGGGGGUGUAGAGGGGUGGAGUUGUGCUCAUAUCUGGAACAGGCUCCAACUGCAGGCUCAUCAACCCUGAUGGCUCCGAGAGUGGCUGCGGCGGCUGGGGCCAUAUGAUGGGUGAUGAGGGUUCAGGUGAGCUCACUGACUGGCCCAGCUCCAGGUCCUGGAUCUGCUCCUUCCUUCACUCCCUGUCUUUCUCUCCUUACCCUUGGCUCACUGAGCCCUUGGGGCUUCCUGGGGACAACUCCUGAACCUGGCCAUUCCAUGUGCAGGAUCAUGACUGAGAUCAUAGAGGUGCAAAUGCUGGACGAGCUGCUGACCCUGCUCUCCAGCAGUGACUUGCACCCAGGACUCAGAUUCAUCCCUCAGCACAGGGGCCUGCCUGUGUUGACUUGCUGUCCUUAGGGAGGAGUUGAAACUGAGGGUAAGGCCAUAGAUGCCAGGAGAUGCCAUACCAGUCUGCUAGGGGAAAGGGUGUAGAAGCCCUUCCAACAUCACCUCUCUCUAGGUAG